GGAGGCAGAGGCAGGUGGCCGCGCGCGGGGAGGAGGAGGAGGAGAGGGAAGGAUGGGGGACAGCGCUGACCUCCACGGGGCCACGCCGCAGACUCAGCGACCCCCGAGGACAAGACCCCCGAUCCACAGACUGAGUCGGAGAGGGAGACCAAGGCUCUGGGGCGGGGCUUUUGUCCCACCCCGGAACCGGAAGUUGCCUUCGACAGUUGACAGCGGGACGGGGUCUCUCUGGGCCUCAGCGACGCUCCGCAGCUCUAUGACUUUCCAGUUGCCCACAAAGUAAGUACAUCGCCUGAUGGAGAAGAACUGAAGCUUUCAGCCAGACAGAUCUGGAGUGGGAGCGCAGGUCAGAGGAUUCAUCCCAUAUUGAGGAUUGGACCCAGGGCCUUGCUGACUCUCUACAAGCCCUCUUCACCAAGCUACACCCCAACCCCACCAAAGGAAAGCUUGACAGACUCCCCCACGCUGAGAAUCCUUGAUGUCUCAAGCAUCUAGAUGUAAGAGCCACCGAGACAUCCGCUCUGCCCACUCACUUGUGAUCUGAGCUCCGCAGUGUCACCGUGGGUGUCUGUCCUUGCCCUUCCAUUGUGUAGCUGGAGCACAGAUGCUCUGAAGACUCAAACUUGCGCUCCUCCCCUUGGCUAUCUGAGUAUUGAAGCAGGGGUCCCCAAGGAAUUGAGAGUUUCCCCAGGAAUGCCAUGCUGGGGAAAGGGAAAAUGUGAAGCCUGAGAAGGAAUUUGUCUCCUAGGAAGAGAUUUCAUACAGUUCUGACAACUUGCCAGACCUCCUUGUAGGAAAGACCGGAACCAAGACGAUUGAUUGGUAAUGGGGGCAGGGGGCGACAUCUUGGCAGGACUGCUUAGCUCUACACACCCCUUGCUUCCUAUUUCAACCUAAAAACCUCAUAUCAGAACCUGAAGAUGGACUAGGCAGAGGUAGGAGUCACUGGACCUCUUUAUUUGUGCCUCCUCCCAAUGUGGCCAUGGUGGAUAAACCCCCUUUCUCUGCUUUUCACUGUUACUUGUCUCUCACUCGGAAUAGGUGGCUGUACCUAGCUUGUUAGGGCUUCUGGGAUCCAGGUUCAUAUCCUUAAAAACUCUCGUAGUUGGAAUUCUGGGCCUGGGAAGAUGGCUCCGCUGUGAAAGGCAAUUGUUUGCAAAGCCUUCCAGUUCAGG
Molecule: long non-coding RNA, 1175 nt
Organism: Jaculus jaculus (lesser Egyptian jerboa)
Lineage: Eukaryota; Metazoa; Chordata; Mammalia; Rodentia; Dipodidae
Exons: 3
Source: RefSeq, a predicted model, not a curated record